This 423-nucleotide ribosomal RNA is filed under the name uncultured bacterium. RNAcentral describes it as "partial 16S ribosomal RNA". It matches the Rfam family "Bacterial small subunit ribosomal RNA", at positions 359 to 774 of the family's 1533-position model. The record is from RNAcentral.
GAAUCUUGGACAAUGGGCGAAAGCCUGAUCCAGCAAUGCCGCGUGCAGGAUGAAUGCCUUCGGGUUGUAAACUCCUUUUGUACCGAACGAAAAGCUUUAGGAUAAUACCCGGGAGUGAUGAUGGUACCGUAAGAAUAAGCACCGGCUAACUACGUUCCAGUAGCCGCGGUAAUACGUAGGGUGCCAGCGUUAAUAGGAAUUACUGGGCGUAAAGCGUGCGCAUGCGGUUUUGUAAGACAGAAGUGAAAUCCCCGGGCUCAACCUGGGAACUGCAUUUGUGACUGCAAGGCUAGAGUACGGCAGAGGGUGGUGGAAUUCCGCGUGUAGCAGUGAAAUGCGUAGAUAUGCGGAGGAACACCGAUGGCGAAGACAACCCCCUGGGCCUGUACUGACGCUCAUGCACGAAAGCGUGGGGAGCAAACA